RNAcentral lists this ribosomal RNA (435 nucleotides) under uncultured bacterium. Its description in RNAcentral is "partial 16S ribosomal RNA". It matches the Rfam family "Bacterial small subunit ribosomal RNA", at positions 29 to 507 of the family's 1533-position model. The record is from RNAcentral.
AACGAACGCUGGCGGCAUGCCUAACACAUGCAAGUCGAACGAUUGCCUUCGGGUGAUAGUGGCGCACGGGUGCGUAACGCGUGGGAAUCUGCCCUUAGGUUCGGAAUAACAGCUGGAAACGGCUGCUAAUACCGGAUGAUAUCGCGAGAUCAAAGAUUUAUCGCCUGAGGAUGAGCCCGCGUUGGAUUAGGUAGUUGGUGGGGUAAAGGCCUACCAAGCCGACGAUCCAUAGCUGGUCUGAGAGGAUGAUCAGCCACACUGGGACUGAGACACGGCCCAGACUCCUACGGGAGGCAGCAGUGGGGAAUAGUGGACAAUGGGCGCAAGCCUGAUCCAGCAAUGCCGCGUGAGUGAUGAAGGCCCUAGGGUUGUAAAGCUCUUUUACCCGGGAAGAUAAUGACGGUACCGGGAGAAUAAGCCCCGGCUAACUCCGUG